UAUCCAAAUGACGAGGUGAAUGGCUGGUCUGCCUGUUUCUACGCACUGGUUCUGCGCGGUAUCUGAGAUCUUUUAUCGACCUUUAUCUCCUGGGGUGGUCAGAAUCUGAUAGUUGGUGGGGACUUCAAUCUGGUCGUCGACCCAUCCAUGGACAGAUCCAGGAACCGCUGCUAUAUGGUUACUUGUUACUAUGGUGAUGUGUGUCACUUUAGAAUGAGGUCAUCAAGUGCCGCCGGAAAGGAGGAGGGUUUACCUUGGCUCCAGGUGCGGCAUAAAUCACGGGUGCACAGGUAUAUAAGAUUAUGAACUAUAAAAAAGAAGAAGAAGCAGCAGAGGUGUCGGGGUGUUAACCAGUGAAGACACCUUCCAAACGAUGACUGAAGCAGUUUGGUACAGGAGAGAAGAUGAAAUGGGAGGCUGGGGAGCAUAAGAGCAGCAAUCUGUAGUUGUUUGAGCCAAGAGCACUCAUAGGAGCAAUAACUGGGAUAAGUAAUAAGUAGUUCAGACCAUCAGCGGUGUAGGGAAGGUGCGUACUCUCUUUUGCAAAAUACCUUUAUAUGUAUUCACUAGGGUUUCUCCCAUUGAUAUUAAUGGACCAUUUCUUCCAACAGAGGGGGUCAUUCUGACCCGUUAGCUCGCUGCGUCUUAACGCCUCUGCCUUACUGACAGGCAGAGGUGAUCGCUGGG
This is a long non-coding RNA of Pseudophryne corroboree (corroboree frog), 687 nucleotides long. RefSeq lists it as uncharacterized. The transcript has 4 exons. NCBI's taxonomy places the organism in Eukaryota, Metazoa, Chordata, Amphibia, Anura, Myobatrachidae. The record is from RefSeq and is a predicted model, not a curated record.